CAAUAGCGUAUAUUUAAGUUGCUGCAGUUAAAAAGCUCGUAGUUGGAUUUCGGGUGGGAAUGGCCGGUCCGCCGUUUCGGUGUGCACUUGCUACGCCCACCUUGCUGCCGGGGACGUGCUCUUGAGUUCACGCUCGGGACACGGAGUCGGCGAGGUUACUUUGAGUAAAUUAGAGUGUUCAAAGCAGGCCUACGCUCUGAAUACAUUAGCAUAGAAUAACACGAUAGGACUCUGGCCUAUCUUGUUGGUCUGUAGGACCGGAGUAAUGAUUAAGAGGGACAGUCGGGGGCAUUCGUAUUUCAUUGUCAGAGGUGAAAUUCUUGGAUUUAUGAAAGACGAACUACUGCGAAAGCAUUUGCCAAGGAUGUUUUCAUUAA
Molecule: ribosomal RNA, 377 nt
Filed under: uncultured eukaryote
Lineage: Eukaryota
Description: partial 18S ribosomal RNA
Rfam family: Eukaryotic small subunit ribosomal RNA
Source: RNAcentral